Panicum hallii is the source of this 1619-nucleotide long non-coding RNA. RefSeq lists it as uncharacterized. The transcript has 2 exons. NCBI's taxonomy places the organism in Eukaryota, Viridiplantae, Streptophyta, Magnoliopsida, Poales, Poaceae. The record is from RefSeq and is a predicted model, not a curated record.
GAGGAAGCUGCUGCGUCCCUCGCUCGUCUGCAAGUGGCGUAGCCAGAGCCUGCCCGAGUCCCUGCAGAGGUUGGGAGGGAAGAAGAUGGCGAUGCCCUUUGCCAUUUCCUCCAUGUAGUCUCCGUCGUCGUCUCCAUCUCCAUAGCCAGAUCGAGCUCAGAUCACAGUGUGACAGCGUACCCUGUAGCACACUCGCCAUCGAUCGAGGCAGCCCCUGCAGGGUGGAGACGACGGCGCCUUUCACCAGCACGACAGGGGAAGAGGGAGACUAGAGAUGCUGAUCGAAGAAUGAAGGGCUGAGAUGACUCAUGUGCUUCUCCAGUUCUUUGAUCCUGUCAAGUUACCUACCUGGCUUGCUCCGAAAAAUCAGUGAGAUUAUGGACUUGUGAUUUUGAUUUUUGGUAUUCAGCAUAUGACUGAUUCUCGAGCAUGUUUUGGUAUAUAUUUCUGCUUCCCAAAUUUUUGAAAACAACCAUACGAAUAGUCUUGAAUUCCUGGUUCAGUUCGUUUGAGUACAUUAUUGAAGGAAUACAUUUUUGUUUUAUCGAUGAUGCAACUCUUCUCAAACAAAUACACUGAGGAAUGGUCAUGCUGGAAUCCAUUUGUCCUAUUGUUUCUUUCUAUAUGCUCGGUUCUCAGACCUGACAGUCUUUUGUACUUUACUUCUUGUGUGUUCUGAGGCAUACGUGUACUGUGCACAAUGUUCCUAUGAAAAUUUCCCCUUUUCCUUUUUAAAUGAAACUUUCAUGCAUUUGGGAUUUAUGCCGCAAAUGGCAAAACUCAUAGCAUAACUGCAUAAGCAUGGUUUUUAUUCCUCUGCUAGAUUAUUUGAACCAAGAAAUCCUGUUAAUGAUGUCUGCAUUUUUUUUCACUCAUUUCUUUCAUCGAUUGUUUUCCAGUACAAUUCAUUCUAAGUUACAUUUCAAGGAUUAGUCAUUGUCUCCUGUGGGUAUAUCAUAUACUCGGCAAGCUAGCAGAAUAGUACUACCUCCGGUCAGAUAUAGAUGACGUUUCAAAUAACAUAAGGUAAUUAACUCUCUAAAAUGAUCGACGCCAUCUAAUUUUUACCAGAUGGGAAUACCUGUCAAGAGCUGCUUCUAGCUAGCCCAGAAGGAAUUCUUCAAAAGUCAAGUGAUCACUUGUUUUUUGAAAAGUAGAGUAUUUCUGGUGCCCCGUACACUUAUAUAUAAGGCCUGAAGUGAUCAAGCAGUAAAUUAGCUAAUUGACAGCCGGAAGCAAUGGGUCAUGAAGUAUCUAUAUAUCGCUAAUUAUUUCUGUUUGAUCACUAGAAUGUAGUAGAGACCAGAUGUAUGCUGGCCUGCACUGCGCAUUGUUCAUAUAUAGAGCAGUCCUACUGAGCUGAUUAGAUGCAAUUUUGGCGUUGGCAUUCAUUUUGUACAUUUUUUCUCUUCCCCUAUUUUAGGAGUAGAUGUUCUUUUGCCUUUCCUUGAAUUGUUGCUUCAAUAGUUGUUAUCAGGAGUAGGCAUAGUACCAUCGAUUUGUUGUCGCCAAAUGUCAAUGGUGAUGAAGAGCAAGGAGGGAUUACCAUCAGAUCACUAACUGCAUGUCGUUUUUGUUCUAGAAAUCAAUCUGGGUGGCAACCGAUUCUUGCACCAGCC